GUGAUGUGUGAUUCCAUUUGAAUGUCUGUACAGCUCUUAAAGCAACACUCUGAGAACUUGUCCCGCUUUGGUCCCCCUACAGGGGUUGUCUCAUUGGAACUACAGCUCGCGCUACUCGAUGCCAGCUGUAGUUCCAAUGAGGCGGGAAAAGUUCUCUAGUGCUUUAAGCUUGAAGGACAUGUUUAGCAUCUAGCUAGCGUCUCACGUUCAUCUCAGUAAGCUAGCAAGAGUACCCAACAGACAACUCCUGUGUAGACUACUUCAAAAUAAAAGCACUUCCUGUGACGGUUCGCAGUAAAACUAAAUUACUGUUAAACAAAUGUUUACUUCAUUAUUGGGUGACAGGAAGAAAGUUGAACAUUACUUAAGAAGCUGUGUCGUGUUUCCUGACAAGUGCUGUGGACUAUGCACUUGAGAAGCUGCCACUGGAAGAGCCACUGAUCAAACAUGCAACAUUUGUAGAUGUAUGGCAGAGGGCUGAAAGUGACAUCAACGAUGUCCUGUUCUUUGUUGAAAGGUUUCCCCAUCUCCUCCCACACCAUGGGCCAGAGGAGCAUGACCUUCUGGGUGAGGAGUUUCUAAAUGAUCAGACCAUGCAAAUGAAAUCCCUGCAGGAUGAAACUGAAGUGGAAAGCUUCUAGGGUGAAAUGGCAAACAGGAAACAUAAGGUGACAGGAAUUUGAGAGGCUUGCUGCCGUCACCAAGCUCGUCCGGGUGUUGCCCCAUGCAAACGCAGACGCUGAGAGGGACUGAACAAAACCAAGAGAAGAAACAGCCUAUCAUUGGAUGGCACCCUGUCCUCAAUAAUGACCAUAAAGAUGGCCAGUCUGGAGCCCCCCUCCGAGAUCAUCAAGGCCCCCAAGAAGGCCUGAGGCCAGUAUAACCAUGCCCACAGAUCAUAGACAAGGACUUUAACCAGCUUCUGAUCUGCAUCUGAUACUGAUUAUGCCUCACUUUGUUGUCAUUUUUGUAAUGCAUUCAUCUGUUUUAUGCUUGGAAAAAGUUGUACUGUUUAAGUACUUUAAGCACUUUGCUUGUUGCACUUUAUUUGUGUCUGAUGGAC
Long non-coding RNA from Esox lucius (northern pike), 1063 nucleotides. The record is from Ensembl. NCBI's taxonomy places the organism in Eukaryota, Metazoa, Chordata, Actinopteri, Esociformes, Esocidae.